This 429-nucleotide ribosomal RNA is filed under the name Pseudomonadota bacterium. RNAcentral's name for it is "Proteobacteria bacterium partial 16S ribosomal RNA". It matches the Rfam family "Bacterial small subunit ribosomal RNA", at positions 355 to 776 of the family's 1533-position model. Lineage: Bacteria; Pseudomonadati; Pseudomonadota. The record is from RNAcentral.
UGGGGAAUAUUGGACAAUGGGCGGAAGCCUGAUCCAGCCAUGCCGCGUGUGUGAAGAAGGCCUUCUGGUUGUAAAGUACUUUAAGUGGGGAGGAAGGGCAGUAAGCGAAUACCUUGCUGCUUUGACGUUACCGACAGAAUAAGCACCGGUUAACUCUGUGCCAGCAGCCGCGGUAAUACAGAGGGUGCGAGCGUUAAUCGGAUUUACUGGGCGUAAAGCGUGCGUAGGCGGCUAAUUGAGUCGGAUGUGAAAUCCCCGAGCUUAACUUGGGAAAUGCAUUCGAUACUGGUUAGCUAGAGUGUGGGAGAGGAUAGUAGAAUUCCAGGUGUAGCGGUGAAAUGCGUAGAGAUCUGGAGGAAUACCGAUGGCGAAGGCAGCCAUCUGGCCUAACACUGACGCUGAGGUACGAAAGCAUGGGGAGCAAACAGG